RNAcentral lists this ribosomal RNA (441 nucleotides) under uncultured bacterium. Its description in RNAcentral is "partial 16S ribosomal RNA". It matches the Rfam family "Bacterial small subunit ribosomal RNA", at positions 338 to 795 of the family's 1533-position model. The record is from RNAcentral.
CCUACGGGAGGCAGCAGUGGGGGAUAUUGGACAAUGGGGGCAACCCUGAUGCAGCGACGCCGCGUGGGGGAAGAAGUAUUUCGGGAUGUAAAGUCCUAUCCGCAGGGACGAAAGAAGACGGUACCUGACUAAGAAGCGCCGGCUAACUACGUGCCAGCGGCCGCGGUAAUACGUAGGGGGCGAGCGUUAUCCGGAUUCACUGGGUGUAAAGGGGGCGUAGGCGGGGCUGCAAGUCAGGUGUGAAAGCUCAUGGCUUAACCAUGGGACUGCAUUUGAAACUGUGGAGCUUGAGUGCUGGAGGGGCAAUCGGAAUUCCGAGUGUAGCGGUGAAAUGCGUAGAUAUAAGGAGGAACACCAGCGGCGAAGGCGGACUGCUGGACAGUAACUGACGCUGAGGCGCGAAAGCGUGGGGAGCAAACAGGAUUAGAUACCCGUGUAGUC